RNAcentral lists this ribosomal RNA (484 nucleotides) under uncultured bacterium. Its description in RNAcentral is "partial 16S ribosomal RNA". It matches the Rfam family "Bacterial small subunit ribosomal RNA", at positions 30 to 507 of the family's 1533-position model. The record is from RNAcentral.
AUUGAACGCUGGCGGCAGGCCUAACACAUGCAAGUCGAGCGGAUGAAUGGAGCUUGCUCCUGGAUUCAGCGGCGGACGGGUGAGUAAUGCCUAGGAAUCUGCCUGGUAGUGGGGGAUAACGUCCGGAAACGGGCGCUAAUACCGCAUACGUCCUUAGGUAGAAAGUGGGGGAUCUUCGGACCUCACGCUAUCAUAUGAGCCUAGGUCGGAUUAGCUAGUUGGUGGGGUAAAGGCCUACCAAGGCGACGAUCCGUAACUGGUCUGAGAGGAUGAUCAGUCACACUGGAACUGAGACACGGUCCAGACUCCUACGGGAGGCAGCAGUGGGGAAUAUUGGACAAUGGGCGAAAGCCUGAUCCAGCCAUGCCGCGUGUGUGAAGAAGGUCUUCGGAUUGUAAAGCACUUUAAGUUGGGAGGAAGGGCAGUAAGUUAAUACCUUGCUGUUUUGACGUUACCAACAGAAUAAGCACCGGCUAACUUCGUG